Molecule: long non-coding RNA, 475 nt
Organism: Clupea harengus (Atlantic herring)
Lineage: Eukaryota; Metazoa; Chordata; Actinopteri; Clupeiformes; Clupeidae
Exons: 2
Source: RefSeq, a predicted model, not a curated record
GGUUUACCGUCAAAAUGUGGGUUUGGCUCAAAAAGCUCAGGGACAGAGGGUUAAAAAAUAUACGUCUUAAUAUCUCUUCAAAAUAUCCAGGAGACCUACUAAGCCUAUAAAUCAGCAGAGGACAAAAAUCAGCAGUCUCCGGAUCCGGCUAUGCCUCUAAAUAUGCAGAGGACAACAUUCAGCAGUCACAAUUUCCAUAAAAAUACCUGCUAAGCCUCAUAUUAAACAGAGGACAACAAUCGGCAGUCUAAAGGUCUACAUAACUGCACAUACCUGACAAGACAAAACUGAACUCUACCCUCGACAGAACAAUCAACAUCUAUAAGAGGUGGCCAGCACCAUUUUAAAAAAAAGGGGGUAGACACAUCAAACAAUACAAAAUGACAAGACAGACCCUGAGACCUGAAUAUAGCAAUCCUCAGUGUGCUAAAACAAAUACAUAACUAUGUAAUACAUAAUCACAUUUUGCAGGUAU